CUGCAGAGAGUACAGCAGAGCCUGGCCUUGGAGCCUUUGCUCUGCUCCACACUCUGGUCAAUUUCUCUCAGGAUGUGCAAGGCUGCAGGGUUGCCCGGGGAACUGUCACCGCAUAGUUUCCAUGCAUGCCAACUGUAUCCCACCCUGGAAGUAGCACCUUUGUUUUACUCUAAGGUUCCCUUAGUGUUGUAAUGGAACUUUGUGGGUCUGGGGGAGUAAUUUCCCCCAUUUUCUCACAGCAGGUUUUACAAAUUUUCUUUAAUUAUGGUAGGUAAGUGCGGCGAUAAUGAAGUCAUAGUAAUUCUUGGAGAGAAAGUGGCCAGUAGUUAGGAAAAUCUAGACUGCAAGGAGGGGACCCUUCAGCCCUCUGAUUCUGUGUGGUUUUGAGCUCUAGAAUGAAAGUUGUAAGAGAGACACUUUCCCUUCAGCAAAUUAGUCCUCUGGCCAGAGGUUACCAAACCUGGUGAUGAUUACCAGAUCACUUACUAUUUGCUUUGGUUAUGAACUGACUCUUACUGUUUAAUAAAAAAAUAAAAGGAGGACAAACAAGGAAAGAAAAAGAUUA
Molecule: long non-coding RNA, 565 nt
Organism: Pezoporus occidentalis (night parrot)
Lineage: Eukaryota; Metazoa; Chordata; Aves; Psittaciformes; Psittacidae
Exons: 2
Source: RefSeq, a predicted model, not a curated record